AGUCGAGCGAACGGAUAAGGAGCUUGCUCCUUUGAAGUUAGCGGCGGACGGGUGAGUAACACGUGGGUAACCUACCUAUAAGACUGGAAUAACUUCGGGAAACCGGAGCUAAUGCCGGAUAACAUUUGGAACCGCAUGGUUCUAAAGUAAAAGAUGGUUUUGCUAUCACUUAUAGAUGGACCCGCGCCGUAUUAGCUAGUUGGUAAGGUAACGGCUUACCAAGGCAACGAUACGUAGCCGACCUGAGAGGGUGAUCGGCCACACUGGAACUGAGACACGGUCCAGACUCCUACGGGAGGCAGCAGUAGGGAAUCUUCCGCAAUGGAC
Molecule: ribosomal RNA, 327 nt
Filed under: Staphylococcus equorum
Lineage: Bacteria; Bacillati; Bacillota; Bacilli; Caryophanales; Staphylococcaceae
Description: bacterial SSU rRNA
Rfam family: Bacterial small subunit ribosomal RNA
Source: RNAcentral